ACUCCUACGGGAGGCAGCAGUGGGGAAUAUUGCACAAUGGGCGCAAGCCUGAUGCAGCCAUGCCGCGUGUAUGAAGAAGGCCUUCGGGUUGUAAGUACUUUCAGCAGUGAGGAAGGUGGUGUCGUUAAUAGCGGCAUCAUUUGACGUUAGCUGCAGAAGAAGCACCGGCUAACUCCGUGCCAGCAGCCGCGGUAAUACGGAGGGUGCGAGCGUUAAUCGGAAUUACUGGGCGUAAAGCGCAUGCAGGUGGUUUGUUAAGUCAGAUGUGAAAGCCCGGGGCUCAACCUCGGAAUUGCAUUUGAAACUGGCAGACUAGAGUACUGUAGAGGGGGGUAGAAUUUCAGGUGUAGCGGUGAAAUGCGUAGAGAUCUGAAGGAAUACCGGUGGCGAAGGCGGCCCCCUGGACAGAUACUGACACUCAGAUGCGAAAGCGUGGGGAGC
RNAcentral lists this ribosomal RNA (441 nucleotides) under uncultured bacterium. RNAcentral describes it as "bacterial SSU rRNA". It matches the Rfam family "Bacterial small subunit ribosomal RNA", at positions 335 to 769 of the family's 1533-position model. The record is from RNAcentral.